UUAAUUGAAGCCAAAAAGAGGCGUAUCACUGUUAAUGAUAUAACUGAGGCCAAUCUCCAAUUAAG
RNAcentral lists this transfer RNA (65 nucleotides) under Bactrocera latifrons. Its description in RNAcentral is "tRNA-Asn". Lineage: Eukaryota; Metazoa; Arthropoda; Insecta; Diptera; Tephritidae. The record is from RNAcentral.